UGGGGAAUUUUGGACAAUGGGCGAAAGCCUGAUCCAGCAAUGCCGCGUGUGUGAAGAAGGCCUUCGGGUUGUAAAGCACUUUUGUCCGGAAAGAAAUCCUUGGCUCUAAUACAGUCGGGGGAUGACGGUACCGGAAGAAUAAGCACCGGCUAACUACGUGCCAGCAGCCGCGGUAAUACGUAGGGUGCAAGCGUUAAUCGGAAUUACUGGGCGUAAAGCGUGCGCAGGCGGUUUGCUAAGACCGAUGUGAAAUCCCCGGGCUCAACCUGGGAACUGCAUUGGUGACUGGCAGGCUAGAGUAUGGCAGAGGGGGGUAGAAUUCCACGUGUAGCAGUGAAAUGCGUAGAGAUGUGGAGGAAUACCGAUGGCGAAGGCGAGCCCCCUGGGCCAAUACUGACGCUCAUGCACGAAAGCGUGGGGGAGCAAAACAGGAUUAGAUACCCUGGUAGUCCACGCCCUAAAACGAUGUCAACUAGUUGUUGGGGAUUCAUUUCCUUAGUAACGUAGCUAACGCGUGAAGUUGACCGCCUGGGGAGUACGGUCGCAAAGAUUAAAACUUAAAUGAAUUGACGGGGUCAUAGCUGUUUCCU
RNAcentral lists this ribosomal RNA (590 nucleotides) under uncultured bacterium. RNAcentral describes it as "partial 16S ribosomal RNA". It matches the Rfam family "Bacterial small subunit ribosomal RNA", at positions 355 to 1375 of the family's 1533-position model. The record is from RNAcentral.